UACGGAGGAUUCAAGCGUUAUCCGGAUUUAUUGGGUUUAAAGGGUGCGUAGGCGGUCGGAUAAGUUAGAGGUGAAAUCCCGGGGCUCAACUUCGGAAUUGCCUCUGUUACUGUUCGGCUAGAGAGUAGUUGCGGUAGGCGGAAUGUAUGGUGUAGCGGUGAAAUGCUUAGAGAUCAUACAGAACACCGAUUGCGAAGGCAGCUUACCAAGCUACUUCUGACGUUGAGGCACGAAAGCGUGGGGAGCAAACAGG
RNAcentral lists this ribosomal RNA (253 nucleotides) under uncultured bacterium. Its description in RNAcentral is "partial 16S ribosomal RNA". It matches the Rfam family "Bacterial small subunit ribosomal RNA", at positions 524 to 776 of the family's 1533-position model. The record is from RNAcentral.